UACGUAGGGACCGAGCGUUGUCCGGAAUCAUUGGGCGUAAAGAGCGUGUAGGCGGCUAUUUAAGUCCUGCGUGAAAUCCUGCGGCUCAACCGCAGACGGUCGUGGGAAACUGGAUGGCUAGAGUGCGGGAGAGGAGAGUGGAAUUCCCGGUGUAGCGGUGAAAUGCGUAGAUAUUGGGAGGAACACCAGUGGCGAAGGCGGCUCACUGGACCGGAACUGACGCUGAGGCGCGAAAGCGUGGGGAGCAAACGGG
RNAcentral lists this ribosomal RNA (253 nucleotides) under uncultured bacterium. Its description in RNAcentral is "partial 16S ribosomal RNA". It matches the Rfam family "Bacterial small subunit ribosomal RNA", at positions 524 to 776 of the family's 1533-position model. The record is from RNAcentral.